AGCCUUCUAUAUCCGUGCUGAGAUUUCGUCACAUACCACACCACAAGGGCUGACGAGACCCCCAAGAUAAGUGAAGUG
RNAcentral lists this microRNA precursor (78 nucleotides) under Schistosoma mansoni. RNAcentral describes it as "mir-3492 microRNA precursor family". It matches the Rfam family "mir-3492 microRNA precursor family". Lineage: Eukaryota; Metazoa; Platyhelminthes; Trematoda; Strigeidida; Schistosomatidae. The record is from Rfam by way of RNAcentral.